AGAAUCAACGCUGGCGGCGUGCCUAACACAUGCAAGUCGAACGAGAAAGUGGGAGCAAUCCCACGAGUAAAGUGGCGCACGGGUGAGUAACACGUGACUAACCUACCCUUGAGUGGGGGAUAACCUAGGGAAACCUGGGCUAAUACCGCAUAAUACCUACGGGUCAAAGGAGCAAUUCGCUUUAGGAGGGGGUCGCGGCAGAUUAGUUAGUUGGCGGGGUAAUGGCCCACCAAGACAGUGAUCUGUAUCCGGCCUGAGAGGGCGCACGGACACACUGGAACUGAAACACGGUCCAGACUCCUACGGGAGGCAGCAGUGGGAAUUUUGCGCAAUGGGGGAAACCCUGACGCAGCAACGCCGCGUGGAGGAUGAAGCCCCUUGGGGCGUAAACUCCUUUCGAUCGGGAAGAUAAUGACGGUACCGGAAGAAGAAGCCCCGGCUAACUUCGUGCCAGCAGCCGC
This 461-nucleotide ribosomal RNA is filed under the name uncultured bacterium. RNAcentral's name for it is "SSU rRNA". It matches the Rfam family "Bacterial small subunit ribosomal RNA", at positions 26 to 518 of the family's 1533-position model. The record is from RNAcentral.